GCCUGGGUAGCUCAGUUGGUUAGAGCAUCAUCCUGAUAUGCCAAGGUUGUGGGUUCAAUUCCCAGUCAGGGCA
Molecule: transfer RNA, 73 nt
Filed under: Myotis lucifugus (little brown bat)
Lineage: Eukaryota; Metazoa; Chordata; Mammalia; Chiroptera; Vespertilionidae
Rfam family: tRNA
About the family: Transfer RNA (tRNA) molecules are approximately 80 nucleotides in length. Their secondary structure includes four short double-helical elements and three loops (D, anti-codon, and T loops).
Source: Rfam by way of RNAcentral